GCAUUGUUGUUUUGCCAGUUUGGGGAUGGGGGCGAUUCUGUCAUUUUGUUACUGUUGUAGUGUUGUAUACUUGUUUGUAUACAUACAGCACGGACUAAUUUGAAGGUUUGAAAAAUAGACCGAAGAAUCUAAAUGCAUCGCGUUGAUGAUCUUCAUUGGCUGGUUACCACAAUCAGUGAAAACUGAAACAUUCGCUUAUGCGGAACAGAUAUAGCCACGUGGUUUUUGUCUUUCGUGCCAUAAAAUGUCACCCAUUAUUUCUACCAGGGCUGUACCAAUGUUGAGAAUGAAACAGGUGCUGAAACGUCGGGAAUCACUUGCAGACAAGGUACAUGAACGGAUAUCACCGCCUUGAGUGCCUUUUCCUCAGUGUAGAAGUUGAACUGGCGUCUAUUAUCACCUUGAGGAUUUCGUCUGUUGUGAUGUGUCAUGCUGCGUGGUGGCUUUUUGGUGAAAUUUGACAGGGUGAAUAUUACGAGGAAACGUAGCCUACCGUUGACUAUUUUGUUCAAAAUGUGCCAUCGAAAUGACAC
Molecule: long non-coding RNA, 533 nt
Organism: Daphnia pulex (common water flea)
Lineage: Eukaryota; Metazoa; Arthropoda; Branchiopoda; Diplostraca; Daphniidae
Exons: 4
Source: RefSeq, a predicted model, not a curated record